RNAcentral lists this non-coding RNA (29 nucleotides) under Rattus norvegicus (Norway rat). The record is from RNAcentral. Lineage: Eukaryota; Metazoa; Chordata; Mammalia; Rodentia; Muridae.
UGGGCAUGCACAGGUGUGUCGUGAUAUGA